This 2574-nucleotide long non-coding RNA is filed under the name Monomorium pharaonis (pharaoh ant). Its description in RNAcentral is "uncharacterized LOC114253943". The record is from RNAcentral. Lineage: Eukaryota; Metazoa; Arthropoda; Insecta; Hymenoptera; Formicidae.
UUUGAUGACAAAAUCGAAAGGAGGAAAAAAAUGUUCUAAAAAAUAAAAUGGAAUAAAAUGGAGUUCAAGCAUAACUGCAGAAACACGUGGGACUGGCUUAUACGUUUGCGCGAGUGGUACUGAUAUCGGGAAGUGAGAAAAAAAAAGGUAAAAAAUCCCCUAAGAAUAAUUCCACUUGUUUAUCCAAGCAAAGGUCCCCAAAGGUUAACAUUAUCCCGGAAAUGUGAAGUUGUUGUAGGAAAAAAAAAAAGUAAAGAGAUUUCGGACGUGACGCAAAUAAUAAAUUUCCCCCGACGAGAUAAUCUCCUUUGCUUCGUCACCUAAUAAAAUUUUUCUUAACUUUAUAUAUCCCCAUUUUUCUUUUCCCCUUUUUUCUUGUCCAUUCUUCUAACUUUUCUCACGGUAACUUUUUAACUUUCUCCAUUUGAUACUAACGCCAGUGAUCUCCAGGGUAUAUAACCGUGAUGUGUUAUAUUUUAUAUUACACAUUAAUUAAAUUAGAAGAACGAUACACCGCUAACAGCUGGCAGUGACAAGCGUGAUUUUCGAUGUAUCGAUCGGGCUUAACAUGCCAGCGGCAUACUCCAGCCACGUCGUAAAUUUUCAAUAUCACUGGAUAAUCUAAAUUUAAUAAGGAAAAUUAAUUUUUGGUUCAUUUCAGAGAAUGCGAGAGAAAUCCAAUUGCAUCCGUGAAAACAUAACACAAUCUACAAACGCAUCAAUAAAAAUUAAUUUAUGGCCUAACUUGCAUCAUAUUGCGAACUUCGGGAUUCUUAAACUUGAGGCAAGAUUUCCGUGCACAUCUUAGAUGCAUUUUUCUCCAUUACCUCAGCGAUACUUUAUCCAAUUUUCGAUGCACACAUAUUUCCGGCGAAAUCCCAAGUAUGUUCUAGACGAUGAUUAAUCGCAAUCCUACAAACGCAUAUUAAACGCGUUCUUCAAAUAUCUCGAGAAAGCGGAUCGAGAAAAUUUGAUUUAGCUUGCUUUAAAUCACGCGCUCGAGCAUAAUAAAUCAUGAUGAUAAUUAUUAUGAUCUUCGUUAAUGACCGAGAGACCCCGAGCGGAUGUAAAAAGGUCUCAGAAAAUAUACGAUUACACCCGAUAAAUUUUACAGUCACUCAACUUGGGUGGGUGAAGACCGAGUCACGGAUAGGAAACAGGCAUCUGUAAUUGUCGCCUUAAUGUCACUCGCAGAGGGUCUCCUUCUUCUGUAUCCCGAGUAAGUCAUUUGCCAUGACGUGUGUCGUGCGGAAAACGUCUUGUGCAUUCAGAAACAGCUGUUUUAGUGCUCUUUUCGGUUAUAAAUAAGUGUUCUUAAAGUGGAUCAGUCACUCAAGAGAGUACGAGCGUGGAGAAUGCAUGGGUUCUUAUGAUAUUGCAAAUCUUGGCACGCAGCCAAUAAUGUGUACCCGAACCGCAAGGCACGGAGAAGAAAAGGGGAAAAAAAGAAGAAACCUAGAGAGAGAAAGAGAGAGAGGGAGAGAGGGAGAGAGAGGCGGGAUAAAAGCCAGACUUCCGAAUGAUGCGGUUUCUAGGUUGGAAUUUGAAAUUCAUCGCCAUCAGGUCGAACGAGCCGCGUGUAAAGAAAAUGCUGCAACGUUUGUUCCAGAAUUAUUCACUGUUGUGAGAAACGCAUGCAACGCAGAAAAACGUAGCGGCAUAUAAAUUACAAAGAAUAAAAGGUCAAUUAAAAAAAUACACGUUUAUUAUUUUAAAAACAAUAUGAAUAUAUUUCAAUGUGUUGUAUGAGCAGAUAAAACCUCCCAUGUAUGGAAAAACGAUGAUAAGAGAAACAAUUUUCUGGUGGAACGAUAAGGAUUCAAUGCCGACGGCAUUGUGCAACACCUGAGAAACGCAUGCAACGUAAAAGACGUCGAGUAAUGGCAUAAAUUAUUUCAAAGACUAAAAGGUUCACUUAAAAAGACCGCAAGAAACAAUUUCUCAAGUGUUUUCUUAUUUCAAGAAAGCACGGACCUAUAUUUGCACGUGUGUGCUGUGUGAACAGAUAAGAUCUUUCAAAUGUAAAAAAAAAUACGAUAGUCAAAGAAACAAUUUUCUGGUGGAACGAUAAGGAUUCAAUGCCGACGAUAUUGUACAACAUCUCUCGGUUAACACCUACUCCCCGUAUUAAAGGCGCAGUAAAAGGCAGGUGGACCUGGGUAAUUGAAGCGGCUCGUAUGUCAUGCCGGAAGCCGAGUAUCGUUGACCCCGUCGGGGCUCCUAAUAGAAAAUCCGACGGCGCUGUCGCCCCUGCAUAAAUCGCCCAUUUACCUCGGCCAGCCGAGUGGCUGGCGGCCACUACGAGCUCCUGUCGCAAGAUAAAUCACCUGGUAAUCACGAUUAUCACCAUCGAUCACCGUCGAUCACCAGGCUAAAGACUAUAGAAAGAGGUCAAAUAAAUUCAUUAACGACAUCACAGCAAGACACAUUAAUACCCAAACGGAGUCCUCGUCGAGUUCUGCGUUAAUUAGAAGGAGAAAUAACUGUAAUAAGAGCAUUGCGAUGUAUUUCGAAUUCAUGUAAUUCGUGUAAUGCGCAUUUCGUUCCGUUAUAACUCAUUCUUUUUGAUUUAAU